This 431-nucleotide ribosomal RNA is filed under the name uncultured bacterium. RNAcentral describes it as "bacterial SSU rRNA". It matches the Rfam family "Bacterial small subunit ribosomal RNA", at positions 29 to 507 of the family's 1533-position model. The record is from RNAcentral.
AACGAACGCUGGCGGCAGGCUUAACACAUGCAAGUCGAGCGCCCCGCAAGGGGAGCGGCAGACGGGUGAGUAACGCGUGGGAAACUACCCUUUGGUACGGAAUAACACAGAGAAAUUUGUGCUAAUACCGUAUGUGCCCUUCGGGGAAAGAUUUAUCGCCAUAGGAUGUGCCCGCGUAGGAUUAGCUAGUUGGUGUGGUAAUGGCGCACCAAGGCGACGAUCCUUAGCUGGUCUGAGAGGAUGAUCAGCCACACUGGGACUGAGACACGGCCCAGACUCCUACGGGAGGCAGCAGUGGGGAAUAUUGGACAAUGGGCGCAAGCCUGAUCCAGCCAUGCCGCGUGAGUGAUGAAGGCCUUAGGGUUGUAAAGCUCUUUCACCCACGACGAUAAAUGACGGUAGUGGGAGAAGAAGCCCCGGCUAACUUCGUG